RNAcentral lists this ribosomal RNA (30 nucleotides) under Hebeloma hiemale. RNAcentral's name for it is "partial 28S ribosomal RNA". Lineage: Eukaryota; Fungi; Basidiomycota; Agaricomycetes; Agaricales; Hymenogastraceae. The record is from RNAcentral.
AUCAGGUAGGACUACCCGCUGAACUUAAGC